UAUUUCUAUGUCUUAAUCAUCUGGUGAUCAAUCCUUGUUAGUUAAUUGAGUUUUAUUUAAAAUAAUUUCACAAAUCAAUUGAGGUGACUGUUUAAGUGGAUUUAAAUUAGCAAAAACUUGAUAAUUAGAAUAGUUAUUAUUACUUGUUCUUUGUGGGUUUGACAUCUUUCUUACUUCUAUAUAUUCUUUAAUUGACUGUGUAUACUUGCGUGAAUUGUCAUUAUAUAAAACAUACAACACUUCACAACCGUUUCUGCAUACAUUGGACCAUCAGUAGUAUGAUAUGGAUAAAGAUCAACCGCAUUAAAAGUCAUUGAUUUUCUGUAGAAUUGUAUAACGACCAUAUUUCUUUUGCUAUAACUUGUCAUAAGUACCAACAGAAACCUUUCCUUGCGCAAGUACUACACCAUCACUUGAUCCCUUUUCUCAAAAGCCAACUUUUGGCAAUGUUUGUCAGCAAGCUUCUUGUAAUGUGCAUAUUAGUGUGCUCAAUCUUUUGCUUCACCUCUGCAUGCAUAGCUUGAACCUCAUCCGUCAUGUUGGCAGUUUCCUUGCUCACGCCAGGUCACUUAGGUAAACUGACCAAAUCAAUAUUUAGUAUAAACAAUAGAAAAUGGAAAUUUUCCUGUAGCGCUAUGUUCAACACUCUUAUAAGCAAACUCCACGUGUUAAGCCAAAUUUCAUUGUUAGAAUUCAGAAAGAUGUUAAAAUUGGUGUUAAGUAAAAGGGUAGGUGUCAAAAUUUAAUUUUAGAGUUAAUUGGUGUUAAGUAAAAGGAUAAGUGUCAAAAUUUAAGUAAUGAGACACAAGGAAACAGAGAAAAUAGGGACAGAAAAUGGGGACAGAGGAUGUGCUCUCUUUUGUUGAGCAUGUCCGAAUAUCAUCGUCCGUAAGCUCAGUACUUGUUGGUACUAAGACUCAGACCUUGGAGGUGGCAGAAACCUGCACGAUUACGCAUUGUCAUAGUUUCAGUUAGACCGAUGAAAUCAAUAACUUCACUGAUCCGGAGACGGAGCCAUUAAGGGGCCUGGGGUCUCCGGCUACCCUGGUUUUUUUAAAAAAUAAAUAAAAUUGACCCUUUAAAUUUUUUCUUUAGGCCCCAAGUUUUUUUGAUAAAAACUAAUAACAUAUAGGAAAAAUUGUUGAAAAAUUAUCUUAUGGUGAAUGUUGAGAGAUAAAUUGCUAAAAAAAUCUUUUUAGAAUAAACUACGAAAAGUUAAUAUGUAUGUCAAUGUUAAAUAUAUUAUUAUUAUUAUUAUGAUAUAUUAUUAUUAAAUAAAUUUUAUGAUGUUAAUUAUUAAAAGAUUUUUUUAUAUUUAUAUUUUUUAUUACUAAAGUUACUUUAUAUUUGAGCAUGUUCUAUUCUAAGUCGACCCAAGUAGAUCUAUGGCCUCCCAAAUACCUAUAUCCGAAACAAAUUUAGGAUAAUUGGACCGGAAGAACAAAAGAAAUUUAUUCUAGCUAACAAUUUAACAGUACAAUCCAUUUGUUCGCUGGAACAAAUUCAUUUUGUUUUUCGAUCAGGUCCAAUUUACCUGUCCACAAAGAGUUUUUAGAGAAUUAAAUAUGGGUCCCCUCGAUCACCUUCCUUUGAGCCUGGACAGGUUGAGAAAGAUGAACCUACACAACAAUUAAUGUAUAAUGUUCGAACCUAAAUCCCAACAAAAGAUAAAAUUCAAGAACCUAAGCAAUUCAGUUGAGACCUCCGUGACUAGUUCAAAGGAAGUUGAUUUUUUUUAAUCAGGUUAAUAAUAAGAGUAAAAUAGUUUUAAAAAAUAAAAUAAAAACGCCCGCGAGCUUUGUCAAUAUCAAUUCCUAAAAAAUAUCGAGCAAGAAGUCAUAUUAAUUACGUACACAGAUAAAUAAAUUUAAACUACUCAAAAUUAAUGAAUAUAUAUUUCUUACCCAAAGAAUCCACAACUAAUUAACAUCGCCUCUAAAUGAAAUGCCAUGAGCAACGACCUUGAUAGAAAUUGAUCAAAAUGUGUGUACACAACGACGUACACAACCAAAUGAAAGAAGAUAUAUAUAUAUAUAUAUAUAUAUAUAUAUAUAUAUAUAUAUAUAUAUAUAUAUAGAGUCAAGAUCUGGUCAGGUCUCCCGGAUAUUUGUUAAAAUCUGAACUUCUAUUGUGAGCCAUAGGAUGGAAUCCAACGGUUAGGAAAGGGAAUUGGUGGAAAAAAAAAUGCGGAGCUCCAGAUGAGAACGGGUCACGGGUUAUUCAGAUCUGUACUCCAUUUCCAAUUUUCGGUAACCGCGUCUCUCUCUCACCCAUUUCACAAAUUGCCUCUCUCUCUCUCUCACUUAAAGCUCCGGACGAAAUCAGAUACAGCAACUCUGGCCUAAAGCUUUUGGCCUGAAAACUUUGUCUCGCUGUCUCUCUAUCUCCCAAGGUAUUGUCUAAUUAUCUGAUAGAAGAAUAAACUAAAAUCCGAAGUAAAUAAUCUGCAGUAACAAUUUCAAAUUUAGUAUUUAGUAGUUUUCUUGCCUACCUUUGGGCUUUUCUGCUAUUGGAGCCUUUUGUGGAACAUCUGGCUAGUGUAGUAAUUGAAGGCUAUUCUUUUAAGUGUUUUUUGUCUUGUUUUCCAUUUGUUCAGUGGGUGAACUUCUUGUCCCCAUUUUCUUAAAUACUGUGUGUUCUGUUCUUUUUCUAUAAAAAUAGAAUAAUGAACUUGACAAUCCAAUUUAUCAGAAUCUCUAACCAUAAACUGAUGACCAUUGUGUAAAUUCCAUGAACUGGAAUAUGGACUAGAGUCACUGAAAUUGCAAUUUUUGGUCCAUAAACUGCAAUUUUUGGUCCACAAUUAGUGAAAGUAUUUACGAUCCACAAUUUUGUAUAUAUGUACAUAUAAAUCAAUGUUGACUACUUGAGUAGGUUAUUGAUAUUGCCUUGGCUAUAUUUAUGAGGAGCCCCAGAGGGGUCGGAUAUUAAAUUUGGUCGCUAAUUCUCUGGAGAUCAACCUUUCCUUACUCUUUGGAUCAUCAAAUCUUGAUGAAAAUUAUUUAUCAUUCAUCGUGAAGUAAGUUGGAUGAAAUCUUACCUUAUUAGUGAAAAAUGUUUGUGUUUACAUAAUGUUAUCUUAUUAUUUAUAAUUUUGGUUAUUGUAAAAGUUCAUUCUCUAUGUUUGAGAAUGCAACAAUGUUAAAGGAUUCUGACACAAAAGAUGAUUUAUGUCGUAUAAUUGGCACUUGCGCCACCAAAUACCACUACACACCACAAUCGUGUGCUUCAAUCAUUCACUUAAUUCACAAAUAUGAUUUUGUUGUUUUUCACUUGGCUGAUGCAAUUGCUGGGGCUGAAAAGAAGUAUGCUGAUGGAAGUCUGGCCACCUCUCUCGUUAGAGAAUUUGGAAGGACUAACCCGAAAGACUAUGUGAAAGACGUUGUUGGGGAACCACCAACACCAAGGGCAGCUCAUGUAGCAACUGUUGUGGGUACUAUGGUAGUAAUUCAGGUUAGUAAACAAUGUUAUGAGAUUCGAACUUGCUCAAUGUUAUGAGAUUCUGUACAUAAUUUGAAUGCGAACUCUCAUUUUGUGGGUUUUAGAAAAGGAAAGUUGGACUCACAAUUUGGGAUGGAUGGAGUAUAUGUUUGUUUAUCUAUGUCGCGUCUUUUCCAACAGUCAAUGCUUAUUGAUGUUUUACAGACGGAUUAUAAUGUCCGUUAUGUUAUAGGGAUUGUUGUUUGAAGGUCUACUUGGAAUGUGCUUCCCUGUAAUGAUCAACAUAUUGGAAUGAAUGUCGUGGCAUAUUUUGGCAGAAGAAUGCACAAAAGAUCACAUUGUUUAUCUCUUCCCAUCCCCAGGUGACGAAGGUUGAUUAUGCAGACCUUCCUAACCAUCCUGGGCGCUCUUUACACUAUUCUCAGGUACAAUUUUUAGAUCAUAUUAUUUAAUACUAAAUGAAAUUUAUUCACAUCACCAUUGUUCACCCACUUCCUCUUCUUUAUUGUAUUUAUAUGCUUCUUACAGGCAACGGGGGCAGGAUCCGUGCUCAGUUUCCUUACAGGAUCAUUGGCACUCUCUAAGCACAUAACUGAGACCACCAAGUAUUUCAGCAUAACCGUCAGUUUUGGUAUUCUUCCUAUUCGAGUGCAUAUGUUCACCAUAAAAGCAUAAAAUUUCAUCUCCUUAAUUUUGAAUGUUCAUUGGAUAAUGUGAUCGUCUUCAAUUUAUAGGGAGUGUGAAGUCGGUCAUAAGCAUGCCCUGCUUUAUGUCCCAUGCAUCAAUACCAGUUACAAUACGAGAGGCUAGAGGUCUAACCGAGGAUCUUGUUUGUAUCUCUUUCGGAAUUGAGGAUGUGAAUGACUUGAUUGCUAAUCUAGAUCAUGCUCUGAGUACUGGGCUUGUGUAGGGGCAUGAAAAGGAUUAAAUUUUGAAAUAUUUACUUGAUUGCUAAGAAUUGACCUUUUUUAGGUCGUUAUUUUAUGAUCUGAUGAGAUUACCAGUAUCUAGUGUUCUAAAAUAGAAAAUGAAGAUGUAUGUAUCUUGCAAUAUGAGUAAUCUUUUUUCUACUUUUGAGUGAGAGUUCAACCUUUCUCCUUUUCUACAAUAGGGAACAAGUGGUUUGAUUUACUUCAUUAGCUAGCUUAUCAGGAGGAGAUUGGUGCCCAAGUCAAAUAAAUUUGAAAUUUUAUUCUAAACAUAACUAACAAAGUGUCCCAACAUUUGAAAUGUAAUGUUAAUAUCUACAAACAAAUGGUGUAAACACCAAUAACAAACAUACAUAGGUGUCCCGGAACACGUGUUACUAAAGGAGACAAGUUUCAUCUAGUAUUAACAUGUUAGAAUUGAAGGACUCGACUCUUGGGAUUGAAUUUAAGAAAUGAUCUUAUAAUAUUUAAUAUAAUAUUAAUUGUCUAUAUUAUUUUUGUAUUGAAAAAAAAAAUACUAUUUAUUGGACAAAAAAUAGUAAGAAAACCAAAAUUAUAUUUAAUACUUGAGAAAAUAUUAAAAAAUAUUUAAUUAGUUCUCAAACCACUUAUAUAAGGGACAAAAAAACAAUUCUCAAAAACAACUUAUAUUAAGGAAAAUAUUAGGUUUUAGGAUUUGAGGACGCUGCCGUUGAUGCUUUGUUUAGCAGUAUCAGAUGAACAAUCAACGAAAACUUAUAUUCCUCAUCAUCAACAAAUAUUCCAGUUCUUCCCACCAUUUCCUACAAGAAUCACUUCAUCACUUCUCAACUGCCCCUCCUCGUUUCGCAAAACUCACCUCCAAAACGUGUAUUCAACUCUUCAAGAACUGCAAAUCCAUGAUAGAACUGAAACAAAUCCAAACUCAGCUUUUCAGAAUCUGUAUUCACCAAAAAGACGACGUUUUCAAAAAGCACAUGGUCGUAUGCGCAGACCCAUGUCAAAGGAAAUUACGCCCAAAAAAUCUUUGAUUACAUCAUCGAAACCCCGUCUUUGUUCAUCUACAACGCGUGAUGAUCAAAGCUUAUGUGAAGACCAAUUGUUACAAAAAGUUCUAGAGUUGUUGUAUCUGAUUUCUAGCCGGAAGCUUUAGGUCAGAGUUGUUGUAUCUGAUUUCGUUCGGAGCUUUGAGAGAGAGAAAGAGAGACGUGGUUACCGAAAAUUAGAAAUGGAGUCCAGAUCUGAAUAACCCGUGACCCGUUCGCAUCUGGAGCUCCGCGAUUUUUCCCCCCACCAAUUUCCUUUCCCAACCGUUGGAUUGCAUCCCAUGGCUCACAAUAGAAGUUCGGAUUUUAACAAAUAUCCGGGAGACUUGACCAGAUCUUGACUCAUAUAUAUAUAUAUAUAUAUAUAUAUAUAUAUAUAUAUAUAUAUAUAUUACAAAAUAUAAUUAAAAAUUAUAUUAGGGAAAAAAUUCUUGUACUUAACUCUUUUACCUCUAAUGGAUAAAUUCUAGGAUUCAAAUAUUUUAUCCAACUUAUCUUUUCGGGAUCACAAAGCUGGUGAGCGAUGCUAUAUCCUUUUCGAGCCUCAUACUUUUGUGUUUGUUUUCACCCAUAGCCCAGCCUUUAUAUGAUUAAACAAAAUCUUCAUUUCACUUCAUGAUCCCCUGCAAAAUAAUCAUUUAUGUAAUCAUAGAAUAUAUAUACUUAUAUUUUAAUUCAAAUUAUAAUGUUUAUGAUCAAAUAAACCAAAAAAAAUGAUCAUAUUAAUACAUCAACCUAUAUAGAAAAUAUGUUGAUAUAUAUAUAUAUAUAUAUAUAUAUAUAUAUAUAUAUAUAUAUAUAUUGAAAAUACUUCUAAUAGAAUAGAUAUGAUUUAUUGAGGACUCUGAUAUGUUGAAGGGAGAGAGAUACCGAAUGUUUAUUAGUAGAUCAAUCCCACAGAAAAUGAUAUUUUUUAGAAGAAAGAAUAGGUGAAACGGGGAGACGGGGAGACGGAGAGCGGCGACGCAAAGAAAAGAAAGGGGUUAUAUAGGCUAUAGUUCACAACCC
RNAcentral lists this long non-coding RNA (6403 nucleotides) under Panax ginseng (ginseng). RNAcentral's name for it is "long non-coding RNA (PGIN_LNC003850)". The record is from RNAcentral. Lineage: Eukaryota; Viridiplantae; Streptophyta; Magnoliopsida; Apiales; Araliaceae.